This 253-nucleotide ribosomal RNA is filed under the name uncultured bacterium. Its description in RNAcentral is "partial 16S ribosomal RNA". It matches the Rfam family "Bacterial small subunit ribosomal RNA", at positions 524 to 776 of the family's 1533-position model. The record is from RNAcentral.
UACAGAGGGUGCAAGCGUUGUUCGGAAUUAUUGGGCGUAAAGGGAGUGUAGGCGGCUAGGAAAGUCUUCUGUGAAAUCUACGGGCUCAGCCUGUAACGUGCAGAGGAAACUAUCUGACUAGAGUGUCGGAGAGGAUAGGGGAAUACCCAGUGUAGAGGUGAAAUUCGUAGAGAUUGGGUGGAACACCAGUGGCGAAGGCGCCUGUCUGGCUGACAACUGACGCUGAGACUCGAAAGCAUGGGGAGCGAACAGG